Molecule: ribosomal RNA, 468 nt
Filed under: uncultured bacterium
Lineage: Bacteria
Description: partial 16S ribosomal RNA
Rfam family: Bacterial small subunit ribosomal RNA
Source: RNAcentral
GACGAACGCUGGCGGCGUGCUUAACACAUGCAAGUCGAACGGAAAGGCCCUGCUUUUGUGGGGUGCUCGAGUGGCGAACGGGUGAGUAACACGUGAGUAACCUGCCCCUGACUUUGGGAUAACUUCAGGAAACUGGGGCUAAUACCGGAUAGGAGCUCCUGCUGCAUGGUGGGGGUUGGAAAGUUUCGGCGGUUGGGGAUGGACUCGCGGCUUAUCAGUGUGUUGGGGGGGUAGUGGCUUACCAAGGCUUUGACGGGUAGCCGGCCUGGGAGGGUGACCGGCCACAUUGGGACUGAGAGACGGCCCAGACUGCUACGGGAGGCAGGAGUGGGGAAUAUGGCACAAUGGGCGGAAGCCUGAUGCAGCAACGCCGCGUGCGGGAUGACGGCCUUCGGGUUGUAAACCGCUUUCGCCUGUGACGAAGCGUGAGUGACGGUAAUGGGUAAAGAAGCACCGGCUAACUACGUG